This 621-nucleotide unclassified non-coding RNA is filed under the name Hevea brasiliensis (rubber tree). Lineage: Eukaryota; Viridiplantae; Streptophyta; Magnoliopsida; Malpighiales; Euphorbiaceae. The record is from RNAcentral.
GAAGAAAAUCAAGGAGUGAGAGGUACUAUUUCGGGCUUAUAUAUGGUGUGUACUAAUGUCAUUUCUUGUUCUCAGUUUUUCGUAUUUGCAUGACUAUGGAUCAUGUAAUUUUAUGAAUCAGUAGAAGUAUACUACCUGCCUCAAGAUCAUACAAUUUUGAUAAGAUAGGUAACUUAUUCACAGGUAAUCAUAAUUAUUGUUUUAAAUUAAUAAUUUGGUUGUCUGCAGCAGUUUGAUUUGAUUGGUUACAUGUUAUAUUUCUUGAAAAGCUUCUACACCUUCAGUGUUAGGUGUUAAAUUAAUAAUUAAAUUAUCUGCUGCAUGUUUGCAAGGUCUUUGGAUGACGUCUUGAAAAAGUUAUUUCUCGAAUUUAGUAAGAAAUUUGACAGUAGUACCAUACUCUCUCUCACUGUACUUCUCUUCCAAAAGGUCAAAGUUAUUUUUCCUUUAUCAAAUUGAUUGAUUGGUGCAAUGGGGUUCAAUAACUGGGUAAUGGGUCAACAUAGAGGGAAGUUAAAAAAUGCUGUGGGUGUUAGAGAUGCACUCUUCCUUAACAUGUCAUUUUUGUUUGCCAUGCACAUUGAGGCCUCUGAUAUGACCGUAAUUUCUUUUUUUUUUUUU